GGUGGCCUCGAGUGCCUCUUCUUCCCCAAUGCGGCCUCAGCCAACGACGCUGCACCCCGGUGAUGACUCCGCCCCACGAUUCCCAUCGGUCGGCGCCUCGCCAGCAGUGACCUCCCCCUCCAUGUAUCCUGUGAUCCGGUCGUGCGCCACCGCCUCUCCAGGCGCUUAGAUCCAGGCUUCCAGAAGGGGAUAGGGGUGGAGGCGGCAGCGGAGGGGACAGGGAUGUGGACCGGAGAAACUACAUGGUGGAGGCACAACAAAGUGUUCAAGCACGGCACCCCAUCGCAUGCAGCUGCAGCCAGCGGCAGGUGUUGGGCACUUUGAGGUAUGCAAACCUUCUCAGAGCAAGGGGAGCAAGAGUACCGAUCAACCGUUCUUCUUUCUUCCUUGGAGCUCCACUGUUUUGGAUGAACUGGACUAACCCUAGAAGGGAUGAAGGUCAUCCACGAGGUGUCUCAAGGUGAACCCCGUGGUACCCGACCAAGUGGCUGGAGGGAAUGGUGUAUGCUCACAAGUUUGUACAGACCAAUUUGUUUCACUCGGACAAGAAUCCCACGAGAACCUUAAUGUGGCCUUUAAGUUUCAGGUCCUUGGGGUUGGAUGCGGCAACUCGUGGCUCGAAGACAAUCUUUUGUGGUGGGGCGUCGCCGCCGGCGGCGGCUCCUGCAUAGACCGUAUCGCUGGGAACGAAGAGAUGCUCCCCUGAUUUGGAGCUGUAGAAAGGAAGUGGUUGCAGACACAAAGUGGGGACACACAACUCCCAGUCAUAAUAUUCUUUAUCUUGGCUCGUUGUUUGGGGAUGGACGCAUCAAUCUGAUGGCGCUCUCCUCCAUGCCAAACGGAUCCUUGGUUCGGAGGCGCGCGGCGCCGACGAUGACAACCUUUCUAUCGACGCAAGGGCAGCAGGAGCUCAUGACGUUGUUGAUGCCACCACCAUGCAUGGGGUUGAUGCAAGGUGGGACAAGUAUGUAUACCAGGCAAAGUACUCAAUCUGUUUGGCAUUUAGCUUUUUGAUUCUGUUUUUAGUGAGCUUGAUUCAGAUAAUUUGUUUACCUGAUGCCUUCACUCCAGGUAAUCUGUUUGUCUGACAUUUUGCUUUUUGAUUCAGUGCGAUCACUAAUGGGGAGAACAUAAAACUUCAAUUGAGGGCACUGUAAUUCUCUAGCUACAUGUAUCAUGGUCACCAACCACACAUGUAAAAACCAUGUCUCCCUACUGUAAUUUGAUGAUUUAUUUACAUGUGGCACAGAAUAGUUCAGAGUUCACUCCGAGAAAGAAUUGCUUUGCAUGUACAUUUGCUAAAAGACGGAUGUGCUGAACUUUCGACUGUUCCGAUUGGUCGCUGACAUAACCUUUCCUCUUUUCAUUGAUAGGUCCAAAAGAGAUCCUUAUUUCACCUUUGUUUAUAGGUAUUCAACGUGAGGAAUUUUAUACUUUUGGAGUGGAGCUAUCAAAUAUAUAUUAUGAGUUUCUAAAACAUCUAUUAUAAGGAGUUGAACAGAGCUUCCUCUGCCCCGGCAGAUUCAGAGAAAACCAACCAGCAGAGAACAUGAACAAAUAUAGUGACGAGAAAGGGUGGAGCUGAGUACACCACACAUGGAUAUGAUGGUCUCCCCUAUGUUCUUUUUGGCAAUCCACUUAAUCACUGACUCAACUUUGUAUGGGUGAGCUAACAAGCCCGUGUUAUGUCUUCCCUCUUUCUUUGGCGCUUCCGAUGCACAAAUGGUGGCGGUGAAGCAGCAGGCCCGAGAGAGCGUGCAGGGGAGGAAGGAGUUCCUGGUGGAGGUGCUGAUACUGGCGGUGCUCAGCCACCCUAACUUCGUCAGCCUGAUCGGCUUCUGCGCGCAGGGGA
This is a non-coding RNA of Aegilops tauschii subsp. strangulata, 1852 nucleotides long. Lineage: Eukaryota; Viridiplantae; Streptophyta; Magnoliopsida; Poales; Poaceae. The record is from RefSeq and is a predicted model, not a curated record.